CCUACGGGUGGCAGCAGUGAGGAAUAUUGGUCAAUGGGCGCGAGCCUGAACCAGCCAAGUAGCGUGAAGGAUGACUGCCCUACGGGUUGUAAACUUCUUUUAUAAAGGAAUAAAGUGAGGCACGUGUGCCUUUUUGUAUGUACUUUAUGAAUAAGGAUCGGCUAACUCCGUGCCAGCAGCCGCGGUAAUACGGAGGAUCCGAGCGUUAUCCGGAUGUAUUGGGUUUAAAGGGCGCGUAGAUGGGUUGUUAAGUCAGAUGUGAAAGUUUGCGGCUCAACCGUAAAAUUGCAAUUGAGACUGGCAGUCUAGAGUACAGUUGAGGUAGGCGGAAUUCGUGGUGUAGCGGUGAAAUGCUUAGAUAUCAAGAAGAACUCUGAUUGCGAAGGCAGCUUACUAAACUGCCACUGACACUGAUGCGCGAAAGUGUGGGUAUCAAACAGGAUUAGAUACCCCUGUAGUC
This 460-nucleotide ribosomal RNA is filed under the name uncultured bacterium. Its description in RNAcentral is "partial 16S ribosomal RNA". It matches the Rfam family "Bacterial small subunit ribosomal RNA", at positions 338 to 795 of the family's 1533-position model. The record is from RNAcentral.